Molecule: ribosomal RNA, 4200 nt
Filed under: Chloroflexota bacterium
Lineage: Bacteria; Bacillati; Chloroflexota
Description: Chloroflexi bacterium (hot springs metagenome) partial 23S ribosomal RNA
Rfam family: Bacterial large subunit ribosomal RNA (bases 546-4200)
Source: RNAcentral
GUGUAAGCGAGUAAGGGCAUGCGGUGGAUGCCUCGGCGCCAAGGGCCGAUGAAGGGCGCGGCACACUGCGAAAAGCCUCGGGGAGCCGUGUGCGGGCGCUAUGACCCGGGGGUGCCCGAAUGGGGAAACCUGCCUGGGGUGAACCCCAGGCAUCCGUGGCUGAAUCCAUAGGCCACGGAGGGGCACGGGGGGAACUGAAACAUCUUAGUACCCCCAGGAAAAGAAAUCAACCGAGAUUCCCCUAGUAGUGGCGAGCGAACGGGGAAGAGCCUAAACCCACAGGGUGCCAAAGCCCGAGGGCGUUGCCCUGUGGGGGUCGUGGGACCCAUCCGGAGGCGGCCUCGGACGUCUCAGGGAGUUACCAAGCCUUGGCCUAGCCGAAGCGGUCUGGAAAGGCCCGCCAUAGAGGGUGAUAGCCCCGUAGGCGAAAGGUCGAAGGCCUCCCGGGGAUGGGAUCCCGAGUACCACGGCCCACGUGGAAGGUCGUGGGAAGCAGGGGGGACCACCCUCCAAGGCUAAAUACCCUUGGCGACCGAUAGCGCACCAGUACCGUGAGGGAAAGGUGAAAAGAACCCCGGUGAGGGGAGUGAAAUAGAACCUGAAACCGCAUGCCUACAAGCGGUCCGAGGGCUAUGGCCCCUUCGGGGGCAAUGCCUGAGGGCGUGCCUUUUGGAGAAUGAGCCGGCGAGUUACUCUCGGUGGCGAAGGCUAAGGGGGUCACACCCGGAGCCGGAGCGAAAGCGAGUCCGAACAGGGCGUCCCGUCGCCGGGAGUAGACGCGAAACCGGGUGAGCUACCCAUGGCCAGGGUGAAGCGGGGCUAAUCCCCCGUGGAGGCCCGAACCCAUCACCAGUGCAAAGGUGUGGGAUGAGCUGUGGGUAGGGGUGAUAUGCCAAUCGAACCCGGAGAUAGCUCGUUCUCCCCGAAAUAGCUUUAGGGCUAGCCUCACGCGGUCCGUGGCGGAGGUAGAGCACUGGUAGGGCUAGGGGCGUUAUGCUACCGAACCCUGUCAAACUCCGAAUGCCGCCACGUGCAGCGUGGGAGUCGGACCGUGGGGGAUAACCUCCAUGGUCGAGAGGGGAACAACCCAGACCGCCUGCUAAGGCCCCCAAGUCCGGGCUCAGUGGGAAAGGAUGUGGGGCUGCUAUGACAGCCAGGAGGUUGGCUUAGAAGCAGCCAUCCUUUAAAGAGUGCGUAACAGCUCACUGGUCGAGCGGCCCUGCGCCGAAAAUGUAACGGGGCUCAAGCCCGGCGCCGAAGCAGCGGGUUCUCGCGUCGAUGAGGCGCGGGAGCGGUAGGGGAGCGUUCCGCACGCGUUGAAGCGCGACCGUGAGGACGCGUGGAGCGUGCGGAAGUGAGAAUGCCGGCACGAGUAGCGGAAGACGCGUGAGAACCGCGUCCGCCGAAGGCCUAAGGUUUCCGACGCAAGGUCGAUCCGCGUCGGGUUAGGCGGGACCUAAGGCGAGGCCGAAAGGCGUAGCCGAUGGACAGCCGGUUAAUAUUCCGGCCCCACCCGGGUGGAGCGAAGGGGGGACGCAGGAGGGUAGGCCAGCCGGCCGCUGGCUGUGCCGGUGCCAAGUCCUUAGGGCGAUGAAGGCGGUAGGCAAAUCCGCCGCCGGAGCCUGAGGGAUGAUGGCGAGCCGGGGAAACCCGGCGGAAGUGGUCGAGCCCACACUGCCGAGAAAAGCCUCUAAGCGUUGAAGCCCGGGUGCCCGUACCGCAAACCGACACCGGUAGGCUGGCGUAAGCGCGCCAAGGCGGACGGGAGAACCCUCCUCAGGGAACUCGGCAAACUGACCCCGUAACUUCGGGAGAAGGGGUGCCUCGCGUAGGGUGAGGCCUUCGGGCCGAGCCCGAGGAGGCCGCAGUGAACAGGCCCUGGCGACUGGUUACCUAAACCACAGGUCUCUGCUAACCCGUAAGGGGAAGUAUAGGGGCCGACGCCUGCCCAGUGCCGGAAGGUUAAGGGGAGGGGUGACCCGGCUUCGGCCGGUGUAGCCCUGAACUGAAGCCCCGGUGAACGGCGGCCGUAACUAUAACGGUCCUAAGGUAUCGCCGGAAAGGCGCUGCCUGCCCGCCGGGCAACCGGCGGGGCAAUACCUGGCUAUAUGCGGGGAAGCCCUGAGAGCCCUCCCUACGUCUCCGGCUCAACGCCGGCGUAAAAAUGGCGAGGGAUUGGGCAAUCCGCAGGAAACUCCCGGCCUCCCUGUCGGGAGGAUCCUCAGAGGCCAUACGCCGGGCAUCCGGUCAGGAGGCUCCGGAUGAAGCUGUCUCCAGAUUGGGUGGUGGGAUUCGUGGACGGCGAAGGCUGUUUUCACGUUUCGAUCCAGCGUCACCCCUCCAUGGCCAUUGGCUAUCAGGUGCUGCCUGAAUUCGUGGUCGUCCAACACCGUCGCGAUAUCCAGGUACUCUACGCCCUCAAACGGUUCUUCCGCUGCGGCGUGGUUCGCCCUAACCAUGAAGAUCGCUACGCUUAUCGGGUGCGGCGGCUGGAGUGCCUGGAGCGCAUCUGUGACUUCUUCCUGCAGCAUCCUCUGAAAACUCGGAAGAACAUCGAGAUGCGUCGGUUCCGAAAAAUCGUUCUCCUGAUGAAGAAGGGACGGCACCGGACCCGAGAGGGGCUGCUGGAGAUCAUUGAGAUCGCCGCGCAGAUGAACUCCGCUAACCGCCCUGCCCUGGAACAGAUCCGCCAGGAGCUCUUGGCCGGAUGAAGAGAUGGUCCACCCCGUGGCGAAAGUCGCGGAACACGGUGAGCGAAAUUCCUUGUCGGGUAAGUGGAAACUUGCCCCGUCCCCUCGCGAGGGGGGAAUGAAAGCCGGCUCAUAUCGGGGAAGCCCUCCUGCGGUAGCGGGACCGCAGUGGGUAACCCCGAGGGAAGUCGUCCGGAGCGAAAGCGAAGGAUUGACCCCGUAACGACUGACCCGAAAGGGGAGGCGCACUCACCUCCGGUGCGCAACACGCCGGCUCUCACCCUUCUGCCUAUGGCAGAAGAAGGGGGCAACUAUGGAGGCGUCCUUCAAGCCAAAGGGAGGUGCGCGGUUGCAUCCAUGGUAUGUGACCGGUCUCGUGGAGGGAGAGGGCACCUUUAUGGUGAGUUUCAACCGGCGCCCGAAACUGCGGGUGGGGAUUGAAACGAGGCCCUCCUUCUCGGUCUCCCUCUCCGAACGGGAUCUGGAUCUCCUGAGGAUGUUGCGACGCUUCUUCGGGUGUGGGGGGAUCCGAUACAGCCGGUCCGAUCGGACAUACAAGUAUGAGGUGCGUUCGAUCACCGAUCUGGUCCGGAAAAUCAUCCCCCACUUCGAAAAGUAUCCGCUGGCUGGGGCAAAAAGGAGGGACUUUGAGAAGUUCGCCCAGAUUGUCCGGUGGGUGCAUGCGAACCACCACCUGAACCCGGACUAUCUGCGGGAGAUCAUCGAACUGGCCUAUUCGAUGAACCCCUCCGGCCGGCGGAAAUACGCGAAGGACGACCUCCUACGGUUGCUCGGUGAGAUGAAGGGAUAGUCUGCGCCCUGAGGAAACUCAGGGGAAACGCGAAGUUCCGACCCGCACGAAAGGCGUAACGACCGGGGCGCUGUCCCGAGGAGGGUCCCGGCGAAACUGCGAACUGCGUGAAGACGCGCAGUGCCCGCAGCGGGACAAAAAGACCCCGUGGAGCUUUACUGGAGCCUGGUAUUGGGUUAGGGUUUGGCCUGUGUAGGAUAGGUGGGAGGCUGAGAAGCCUGGGCGCCAGCCUGGGUGGAGCCACCGGUGAAAUACCACCCUGGUCAAAUCUUGGCCCUAACGCCGACCCGUGAACCCGGGCGGCGGACAGUGCCUGGUUGCCAGUUUUGCUGGGGCGGCAGCCUCCUAAAAGGUAACGGAGGCGCCCAAAGGUCCCCUCAGGCGGAAUGGAAACCCGCCGUUGAGUGCAAGGGCAUAAGGGGGCUUGACUGCGAGGCUGACAAGCCGAGCAGGGGCGAAAGCCGGGCCUAGUGACCCCACGGUUCCGUGUGGAAGGGCCGUGGAUCAACGGAUAAAAGCUACCCCGGGGAUAACAGGCUGGUGAGGCCCAAGAGUUCACAUCGACGGCCUCGCUCGGCACCUCGAUGUCGGCUCAUCGCAUCCUGGGGCUGGACAAGGUCCCAAGGGUCGGGCUGUUCGCCCGUUAAAGCGGUACGUGAGCUGGGUUCAGACCGUCGUGAGACAGGUCGGUCUCUAUCC